Molecule: ribosomal RNA, 253 nt
Filed under: uncultured bacterium
Lineage: Bacteria
Description: partial 16S ribosomal RNA
Rfam family: Bacterial small subunit ribosomal RNA
Source: RNAcentral
UACGAAGGGGGCUAGCGUUGUUCGGAAUUACUGGGCGUAAAGCGCGCGCAGGCGGCUAUCCAAGUCAGGGGUGAAAGCCCGCGGCUCAACCGCGGAAUUGCCCUUGAGACUGUAUCGCUUGAACACGGGAGAGGUGAGUGGAAUUCCGAGUGUAGAGGUGAAAUUCGUAGAUAUUCGGAAGAACACCAGUGGCGAAGGCGGCUUCCUGGACCAAUACUGACGAUCAGGUGCGAAAGCGUGGGGAGCAAACAGG